GUGGAUUGAUUCUAUCACCCACCACUGAAGAGAGAGAGACGGCAGCUUUUGUUUUGCGAAUUCAUCGCCUUCCUCGCCGAAACAUAAAAUCCGAUUUUCGAAUCCAUCGCUCCUCUAUCUCGCUCCCCAAUUCUCGGCUUAUCUCGGGUUCUCCCAGUUAACAAAAUUGUCCAUCGAUCACUUCCCUCUCCCUCCCCUACUUCUCUCAGCUCGCUCCAGGUGAUCAUAAUUGUACAACCAAAUAGAAA
This 248-nucleotide unclassified non-coding RNA is filed under the name Hevea brasiliensis (rubber tree). The record is from RNAcentral. Lineage: Eukaryota; Viridiplantae; Streptophyta; Magnoliopsida; Malpighiales; Euphorbiaceae.